AAACUAUUUAAAACUUUGUUUUGAAAACAAAGUUUAAGAUUAUUCUUGUAGUUUU
Molecule: transfer RNA, 55 nt
Filed under: Macropostrongyloides mawsonae
Lineage: Eukaryota; Metazoa; Nematoda; Chromadorea; Rhabditida; Strongylidae
Description: tRNA-Ser
Source: RNAcentral